GGUUGAUCCUGCCAGUAGUCAUAUGCUUGUCUCAAAGAUUAAGCCAUGCAUGUCUCAGUAUAAGCUUCUAUACGGUGAAACUGCGAAUGGCUCAUUAAAACAGUUACAGUUUAUUUGAUGGUCAUUCUUUACAUGGAUAACCGUGGUAAUUCUAGAGCUAAUACAUGCGCCCAAACCCGACUCCGUGGAAGGGUUGUGUUUAUUAGUUACAGAACCAACCCAGGCUCUGCCUGGUCUUGUGGUGAUUCAUAAUAACCGAACGAAUCGCAUGGCAUCAGCUGGCGAUGAAUCAU
This 293-nucleotide ribosomal RNA is filed under the name uncultured eukaryote. Its description in RNAcentral is "partial 18S ribosomal RNA". It matches the Rfam family "Eukaryotic small subunit ribosomal RNA", at positions 6 to 298 of the family's 1831-position model. The record is from RNAcentral.